GUGGGAAGAAGGCCUUCGGGUUGUAAACCACUUUUGUACGGAACGAAAAGGUCUGCCCUAAUACGGUGGGCCCAUGACGGUACCGUAAGAAUAAGCACCGGCUAACUACGUGCCAGCAGCCGCGGUAAUACGUAGGGUGCGAGCGUUAAUCGGAAUUACUGGGCGUAAAGCGUGCGCAGGCGGUUAUAUAAGACAGUUGUGAAAUCCCCGGGCUCAACCUGGGAACUGCAUCUGUGACUGUAUAGCUAGAGUACGGUAGAGGGGGAUGGAAUUCCGCGUGUAGCAGUGAAAUGCGUAGAUAUGCGGAGGAACACCGAUGGCGAAGGCAAUCCCCUGGACCUGUACUGACGCUCAUGCACGAAAGCGUGGGGAGCAAACAGGAUUAGAUACCCUGGUAGUCCACGCCCUAAACGAUGUCAACUGGUUGUUGGGUUUAUUCGUACUCAGUAACGAAGCUAACGCGUGAAGUUGACCGCC
This 477-nucleotide ribosomal RNA is filed under the name uncultured beta proteobacterium Sau 3. RNAcentral describes it as "bacterial SSU rRNA". It matches the Rfam family "Bacterial small subunit ribosomal RNA", at positions 401 to 873 of the family's 1533-position model. The record is from RNAcentral. Lineage: Bacteria; Pseudomonadati; Pseudomonadota; Betaproteobacteria.